Molecule: long non-coding RNA, 842 nt
Organism: Chiroxiphia lanceolata (lance-tailed manakin)
Lineage: Eukaryota; Metazoa; Chordata; Aves; Passeriformes; Pipridae
Exons: 3
Source: RefSeq, a predicted model, not a curated record
GGCCAUUUUACCUCAUUUUACCUCAGCACGGUAGAGCCGGUCCCGGCUUGUCUCUGUCCUGCUCCUGGCUCUCCCGCCCACUUAGGGAGCGGGAAAAACUCUUGCCCACAUCCUCAGGGAAUGCCACAAUGUGACAGAGCUGUGACCGAAGCCCCUCAGCCCUCCUGAGGGGAUACACCCAGGAUACAGAGGGCCCCACUGCCAUUGCCUGCUGUGUGGAGGGCACUCAUUGCACAGGCUGGCUUAGAGCUGCACAAGGACUUUAAGAGAGGAAGCUGAAUUAGAAGAGUAAGAAUGAUUUAAACAACAAAGCUGUUCCCAUUUGAAGACACUGCUGUGGUGUAUUUUGGACACUGGAACUUGGUACUUCCCAUUCAUGCUACCCUGCCAUGUUUUCCAGCUACCCUGCCAGCAUACAGAUCUCUGCCUGUGGUGGUCACAUGAGAUGUACACUGGGCUCAACUCAGCUGGAAGAACUGCAUCCUGCACAUGUUCUCCUGCUGGAGACUUCCAUGCUGUAAACUUUGCCUGUGACAAAGCUGAUUGCUGCUGAACAGACAGGCUGCUGCCAUACUGCAUCUGAGCCAGAGGCAUUGAUUCCUCCAUGGCACAUGGAAUAUUCUGAACAUUUCUCCAGUUAGUUACAUCACCCCUCUGAUCUCGAGGAAUCCACAUGUACAGUGCACAGUCUAUUUAUUGUACAGCUGUCUUUCCAUUAAGACAACUCUUCAUCUCUUCCGUGAUACCCAUCACAAUAUUUGUUUCCAACAAAAGUAUAAGCUGUCUGUCGUUUCCCCCAUUCCUUUUUUUUUCCUUAAUAUCAUAAGAUUUGAAUAAAUCUA